Molecule: ribosomal RNA, 334 nt
Filed under: uncultured cyanobacterium
Lineage: Bacteria; Bacillati; Cyanobacteriota
Description: bacterial SSU rRNA
Rfam family: Bacterial small subunit ribosomal RNA
Source: RNAcentral
UGUGGGUCGUAAACCUCUUUUCUCAGGGAAGAAGUACUGACGGUACCUGAGGAAUCAGCAUCGGCUAACUCCGUGCCAGCAGCCGCGGUAAGACGGAGGAUGCAAGCGUUAUCCGGAAUUAUUGGGCGUAAAGCGUCCGUAGGUGGUAUAGAAAGUCUGUUGUUAAAUCCCACAGCUCAACUGUGGAUCGGCAAUGGAAACUACUAAACUUGAGUGUGGUAGGGGUAGAGGGAAUUCCUAGUGUAGCGGUGAAAUGCGUAGAUAUUAGGAAGAACACCAGUGGCGAAGGCGCUCUACUGGGCCAUAACUGACACUGAUGGACGAAAGCUAGGGG